RNAcentral lists this ribosomal RNA (405 nucleotides) under uncultured bacterium. Its description in RNAcentral is "bacterial SSU rRNA". It matches the Rfam family "Bacterial small subunit ribosomal RNA", at positions 61 to 507 of the family's 1533-position model. The record is from RNAcentral.
GUCGUACGAGAGUUUUUAACUCAAGUGGCGGACGGGUGAGUAACACGUAAGAAUUUGCCUUUAGGAGGGGGAUAACAACUGGAAACGGUUGCUAAUACCCCAUAUGCUUUCGAGUGAAAUGGUUUUUCCGCCUAAAGAGAAGCUUGCGGCUGAUUAGCUUGUUGGGGAGGUAAUGGCUCACCAAGGCGACGAUCAGUAUCUGGUUUGAGAGGACGAUCAGACACACUGGAACUGAGACACGGUCCAGACUCCUACGGGAGGCAGCAGUGGGGAAUUUUCCGCAAUGGGCGAAAGCCUGACGGAGCAAUACCGCGUGAGGGAUGACGGCCUAUGGGUUGUAAACCUCUUUUUUCAGGGAGGAAUAAAUGACGUGUACCUGAGGAAUAAGCAUCGGCUAACUCCGUG